RNAcentral lists this long non-coding RNA (944 nucleotides) under Helianthus annuus (common sunflower). RNAcentral's name for it is "hypothetical non coding rna". Lineage: Eukaryota; Viridiplantae; Streptophyta; Magnoliopsida; Asterales; Asteraceae. The record is from RNAcentral.
AAAUGUCUAUUAUCAUCUCUUACCAAAGUAGAGAUUCUCAUUCUAAAAGUACCAUCGUUAAAUGCAUAAGUGCAUUAAUAUGUUUUGCUAGCUAUGUAUGGUUAUAAUAUCUUUCACUUGAGCUUGUUGUCAUGAUAUAACCUUUGUCAAGCGAAGAGACAUUGGAAUGAGUUUAAAGAAAUAUUUCAGGUAUAAACGAUAUUUGAUUAUAUUUUACUAACCCAUCAAAACAAGUUUGGUUAGUCUUGUAGAUGCAGGAAUGUAACGAAACAUAGUCGUGGACGUAUGAUAAUUUUUGGGAAGAGGCACCUAAAGUCUCGUUAGAAGAUUAUACAACAUUGCUCAAAUAAAGGAUUGCACAUUAAGGGAUCAAGCAACAAAUCAUUCGCUACAAAGGCUUUAUUCGACUUUCAAAGAAGAUGGACAUACGUCACUUAAAGGACACAUGUUAAAAUGAGGGGGAGACUUAUUCAAGUUGCACUCUUUUUCCCUUGACUAAGUUUGUCCCAUUGGGUUUUCUUAGUCAGGUUUUUAAUGAGGCAACAUACCUGAUCCAAAAGUAUCAGGAGGAGAAAAUACGCGCUGCACUCUUUUUCCCUUCGCUGAGGUUUUAUCCCACUGGGUUUUCCUAGCAAGGUUUUUAACGAGGCAGCAUCACCAAACGUAUUAAAGGUAUGUGGAUAGUCAAGGGGGAGUGUUAUGAAUGCAUCAUUUAUAAGGUGACUUUCCACAUACACAACUCCUAUAACUCCCAUGUCUUUAAGUUUUUUUUGUAUUAAUGUAUAUGCCUAUAUAUAGUGGCAUUUGUAUAUGUUGUAGAGAUCUCAAUGAAUAACAAUUCUCUAUUCUAUCUUUCUCUCUAUGUUGUUGGGUCGAUUUCAGUUCUGCAUGUGACAAAUGAGUAUAUGUUUCUUUGGUGCGACUGUAUAGUGUUUUUGUUAUAA